Molecule: ribosomal RNA, 253 nt
Filed under: uncultured bacterium
Lineage: Bacteria
Description: partial 16S ribosomal RNA
Rfam family: Bacterial small subunit ribosomal RNA
Source: RNAcentral
GACAGAGGGGGCAAGCGUUGCUCGGAAUUACUGGGCGUAAAGGGCGCGUAGGCGGUUUGGCAAGUCGGUCGUGAAAUCCCUCGGCUCAACCGAGGAACGUCGAUCGAUACUGCUGUUCUUGAGGAUUGCAGAGGAGACUGGAAUUCCCGGUGUAGCGGUGAAAUGUGUAGAGAUCGGGAGGAACACCGGUGGCGAAGGCGGGUCUCUGGGCAAUUCCUGACGCUGAGGCGCGAAAGCGUGGGGAGCAAACGGG